AGCUCACCACCUGCUGUCACUCCGGUUAGCUCUCCACCUGCUCCAGUUCCAGUGAGCUCUCCACCAGCUAAAUCUCCUGCCAAAUCUCCUCCAGCACCUGCGCCAGUGACUCCACCAACAAGUUCUCCUCCGGAAAAUGCUCCUCCUGCUCCAGUGGUUUCACCAACGGCAGAGGUUCCUGCGCCGACUACCAGCAAGAAGAAGCCUAAGAAGCACACUGCUCCAGCUCCUGGUCCUGAGUUGUCGAGCCCACCUGCUCCGCCAACUGAGGCACCUGGACCGAGCGCUGAAGCCAACUCACCUGGACCCUCUGUGGCUGACGAGAGCGGAGCAGAGACGAUAAAGAGCCUGCAGAAGAUGGUUGGAGGGCUGGCAGUGGGAUGGGCAAUCUGCACUUUGGUCUUCUAGAGAGAGAAGUUUAUCAUGUGACACUGCAGCUGCUGCUGCUUCCCCUGUUAUAUUAUUUUAAUUGUUUGCCCCCAUUUUCUCUUAUUUAUUACGGGACACACAUUUGAUAUAUUUUUUAUUUUAUUUUACCAUUGUUUGGUUAAAUUAUUAUUGUCAUCGUAGUGGCCACUGGUUUUGGUGAUUUCUGCCUGGGGAUCAGCACAUUUGCUUUUGUAUUCAGUAUUCUUUGAGAGAGAUUUGUGGGGGAAACUCUGUAUUUUUGUAGUUUUUCUAUUCACCGUCAUUUUGGAUCCUUCCAAUAGGACCCUUCUCUUUCUCUUGUGUUUUGCUUUUUUGCUUUGAUCUUUCUUUUCUUGACAACCUCUUAUCUUUACGCGUUUCGCUUUCUUCUUCCUCAGGUUGUCUUUAUUCCUUGAUUGUUUCACAAUUAUGAAUAAGUGUACUAUUUUUCCCACCACUCAUAAAAGAAAAGCAACCACAAA
RNAcentral lists this unclassified non-coding RNA (890 nucleotides) under Hevea brasiliensis (rubber tree). The record is from RNAcentral. Lineage: Eukaryota; Viridiplantae; Streptophyta; Magnoliopsida; Malpighiales; Euphorbiaceae.